UCAAACUUGGUCAUUUAGAGGAAGUAAAAGUCGUAACAAGGUCUCCGUUGGUGAACCAGCGGAGGGAUCAUUACAGAGAGUUUCUUGUCUCUUCGGCAAGACUCCCAAAACCCCAUGUGAACAUACCUCUUGUUGCCUCGGUGGGAGCCGCGCCCGAGCCCGCACUGCGGGAGGCGGGGGUGGCUUCUGCCAGCAGGCCACGAAACUCUGUUUUACUCUGGAAUUCUGAAUUAUGAAAACAAAAAAAAAAAGUUAAAACUUUCAACAACGGAUCUCUUGGUUCUGGCAUCGAUGAAGAACGCAGC
Molecule: unclassified non-coding RNA, 305 nt
Filed under: uncultured fungus
Lineage: Eukaryota; Fungi
Description: partial contains small subunit ribosomal RNA, internal transcribed spacer 1, and 5.8S ribosomal RNA
Rfam family: Eukaryotic small subunit ribosomal RNA (bases 1-73)
Source: RNAcentral